GACGAACGCUGGCGGCGUGCUUAACACAUGCAAGUCGAACGGUGAAGCGCCUUCCUUUUUGGUGGGUGUGGAUGAGUGGCGAACGGGUGAGUAACACGUGAGUAACCUGCCCCCUUCUUCUGGAUAACCGCAUGAAAGUGUGGCUAAUACGGGAUCUUCUGGGUCUGUCGCAUGAUGGGUCUGGGAAAGAUAUUGUUUCGGUGGGGGAUGGGCUCGCGGCCUAUCAGCUUGUUGGUGGGGUGAUGGCCUACCAAGGCGGUGACGGGUAGCCGGCCUGAGAGGGUGGACGGUCACACUGGGACUGAGACACGGCCCAGACUCCUACGGGAGGCAGCAGUGGGGAAUAUUGCACAGUGGGCGCAAGCCUGAUGCAGCGACGCCGCGUGAGGGAUGGAGGCCUGCGGGUUGUGAACCUCUUUCGCCAGUGAAGCAGGCCUGCCUCGUUUGUGGGUGGGUUGACGGUAGCUGGAGAAGAAGCGCCGGCUAACUACGUG
RNAcentral lists this ribosomal RNA (494 nucleotides) under uncultured bacterium. Its description in RNAcentral is "partial 16S ribosomal RNA". It matches the Rfam family "Bacterial small subunit ribosomal RNA", at positions 28 to 507 of the family's 1533-position model. The record is from RNAcentral.